GGAAGGGUAGCGAAGAGGCUAAACGCGGCGGACUGUAAAUCCGCUCCUUCGGGUUCGGGGGUUCGAAUCCCUUCCCUUCCA
Molecule: transfer RNA, 81 nt
Filed under: Streptococcus pneumoniae
Lineage: Bacteria; Bacillati; Bacillota; Bacilli; Lactobacillales; Streptococcaceae
Description: tRNA-Tyr
Rfam family: tRNA
About the family: Transfer RNA (tRNA) molecules are approximately 80 nucleotides in length. Their secondary structure includes four short double-helical elements and three loops (D, anti-codon, and T loops).
Source: RNAcentral